GACGAACGCUGGCGGCGUGCUUAACACAUGCAAGUCGAACGGAAAGGCCCUGCUUUUGUGGGGUUCUCGAGUGGCGAACGGGUGAGUAACACGUGAGUAACCUGCCCUUGACUUUGGGAUAACUUCAGGAAACUGGGGCUAAUACCGGAUAGGAGCUCCUGCUGCAUGGUGGGGGUUGGAAAGUUUCGGCGGUUGGGGAUGGACUCGCGGCUUAUCAGCUUGUUGGUGGGGUAGUUGCUUACCAAGGCUUUGACGGGUAGCCGGCCUGAGAGGGUGACCGGGCACAUUGGGCCUGAGAUACGGCCCAGAAGCCUACGGGAGGCAGCGGUGGGGAACAUUGCACAAUGGGCGGAAGCCUGAUGCAGAAACGCCGCGUGCGGGAUGACGGCUUUUGGGUUGUAAACCGAUUUCGCCUGUGACGAAGCGUGAGUGACGGUAAUGGGUAAAGAAGCACCGGCUAACUACGUG
Molecule: ribosomal RNA, 468 nt
Filed under: uncultured bacterium
Lineage: Bacteria
Description: partial 16S ribosomal RNA
Rfam family: Bacterial small subunit ribosomal RNA
Source: RNAcentral